UUAAAUAAAGCCAAAAAGAGGCGUUUCAUUGUUAAUGAUAUCAUUGACUAAUUAGUCUGUUUAGA
RNAcentral lists this transfer RNA (65 nucleotides) under Caenis pycnacantha. Its description in RNAcentral is "tRNA-Asn". The record is from RNAcentral. Lineage: Eukaryota; Metazoa; Arthropoda; Insecta; Ephemeroptera; Caenidae.